GGGGAAUAUUGCACAAUGGGCGCAAGCCUGAUGCAGCCAUGCCGCGUGUGUGAAGAAGGCCUUCGGGUUGUAAAGCACUUUCAGCGAGGAGGAAGGGUAGUGUGUUAAUAGCACAUUGCAUUGACGUUACUCGCAGAAGAAGCACCGGCUAACUCCGUGCCAGCAGCCGCGGUAAUACGGAGGGUGCAAGCGUUAAUCGGAAUUACUGGGCGUAAAGCGCACGCAGGCGGUUUGUUAAGUCAGAUGUGAAAUCCCCGCGCUUAACGUGGGAACUGC
RNAcentral lists this ribosomal RNA (276 nucleotides) under uncultured bacterium. RNAcentral describes it as "partial 16S ribosomal RNA". It matches the Rfam family "Bacterial small subunit ribosomal RNA", at positions 356 to 624 of the family's 1533-position model. The record is from RNAcentral.